This 689-nucleotide long non-coding RNA is filed under the name Cyanistes caeruleus (blue tit). RNAcentral's name for it is "lncRNA (ENSCCEG00000013166.1)". The record is from RNAcentral. Lineage: Eukaryota; Metazoa; Chordata; Aves; Passeriformes; Paridae.
CUGAAAUGCCCUGUAAUUAAAGGCCACUGUAAUUAAAGUCGUUGUGAUGGCAUGACUAUGCUGUAUAACUGUGAACAAGGAAAUCACUUGUCUGAGGCAAUAUCCUCAGACUACUCCAGGAGGAAAAAAAAAAAAAAAAGAAAAAACUCCUUAAACUCAUGAAGCUCACUCUGACACAGAAAGUGACAAAUCUAUCCUUUCACUUUGAAUUCUGAAAACCAGAAACCUUCUCCCACAUUAACUGCGGCAUAGUGAGAAGAGUUUGCAAAAUCAAGCACCCAGAUGUUUCUUGGCUGCUGAAGUAUGCAGUCUUGCAGCUCUUUUGGAGUUUGCCCUCUUUGCAAUACAGAGCUAAGCAACUGAAUUUGAGAGGUGUUGGUGAGGAGAUAAAAGGCAUUCUGCUCCAUUCCUGUGGAGAAGACCAGCUGCUUUCAUCAGGUGUCUUCCAUUUUGGCUCUAAUGGGGAGGAAAAAAAGUGCCAAAACACAGGCAAUCCCGAAACCCCAAACUGGUGUACAUGUCCGGGUAAACAGAGGGAGAAUGAAGAACACACACAGUCACUGUCGGCCUGUAAGAGGAGAGAAUAUCUCUUCUAUUCUUGAGUUUGUCCUUUUUGUCUUUCCAUGAAUUUUCAUUACUAUCAAUGCCAUUAAGUUUCCCACUGGCAACUGACUAGUUUUUUCAAGGAG